UUAAAUAACUGCACGCUAUGCUACUAUAGUUAAGAUUUUACACCCAAAGCACUAUAGUCCAUUUAACACGGUAUAUUACGCUCAUCAGUCGAUUUUCGGUCAGUCAUCCGGCCAUUUACCUGGCGCCCAAAUUAAUGCCACAUGUACAUCCAUAUCUGCUUCUCCGCUCAAAUUAGAAAAAAAAUCCGUCCCUAAAUUCUAUUCGUUGGCUCAACAGCGGCACAAGCUGC
This 230-nucleotide long non-coding RNA is filed under the name Linum usitatissimum (flax). Its description in RNAcentral is "long non-coding RNA (LUSI_LNC003941)". Lineage: Eukaryota; Viridiplantae; Streptophyta; Magnoliopsida; Malpighiales; Linaceae. The record is from RNAcentral.